This 656-nucleotide ribosomal RNA is filed under the name uncultured Actinomycetes bacterium. RNAcentral describes it as "bacterial SSU rRNA". It matches the Rfam family "Bacterial small subunit ribosomal RNA", at positions 232 to 885 of the family's 1533-position model. Lineage: Bacteria; Bacillati; Actinomycetota; Actinomycetes. The record is from RNAcentral.
CGCGGCCUAUCAGCUUGUUGGUGGGGUAACGGUCUACCAAGGCGAUUACGGGUAGCCGGCCUGAGAGGGCGACCGGCCACACUGGGACUGAGACACGGCCCAGACUCCUGCGGGAGGCAGCAGUGGGGAAUAUUGCGCAAUGGGCGAAAGCCUGACGCAGCGACGCCGCGUGGGGGAUGACGGCCUUCGGGUUGUAAACCUCUUUUACCACCAACGCAGGCUCCCGGUUCUCCGGGGGUUGACGGUAGGUGGGGAAUAAGGACCGGCUAACUACGUGCCAGCAGCCGCGGUAAUACGUAGGGUCCGAGCGUUGUCCGGAAUUAUUGGGCGUAAAGAGCUCGUAGGCGGCGUGUCGCGUCUGCUGUGAAAGACCGGGGCUUAACCCCGGUUCUGCAGUGGAUACGGGCAUGCUAGAGGUAGGUAGGGGAGACUGGAAUUCCUGGUGUAGCGGUGAAAUGCGCAGAUAUCAGGAGGAACACCGGUGGCGAAGGCGGGUCUCUGGGCCUUACCUGACGCUGAGGAGCGAAAGCAUGGGGAGCGAACAGGAUUAGAUACCCUGGUAGUCCAUGCCGUAAACGUUGGGCGCUAGGUGUGGGGACUUUCCACGGUUUCCGCGCCGUAGCUAACGCAUUAAGCGCCCCGCCUGGGGAGUACGG